AGUGAACGCUGGCGGUAGGCCUAACACAUGCAACUCGAACGGCAGCACAGUAAGAGCUUGCUCUUACGGGUGGCGAGUGGCGGACGGGUGAGGAAUACAUCGGAAUCUACUUUUUCGUGGGGGAUAACGUAGGGAAACUUACGCUAAUACCGCAUACGACCUACGGGUGAAAGCAGGGGAUCUUCGGACCUUGCGCGAUUGAAUGAGCCGAUGUCGGAUUAGCUAGUUGGCGGGGUAAAGGCCCACCAAGGCGACGAUCCGUAGCUGGUCCGAGAGGAUGAUCAGCCACACUGGAACUGAGACACGGUCCAGACUCCUACGGGAGGCAGCAGUGGGGAAUAUUGGACAAUGGGCGCAAGCCUGAUCCAGCCAUACCGCGUGGGUGAAGAAGGCCUUCGGGUUGUAAAGCCCUUUUGUUGGGAAAGAAAAGCAGCAGGUUAAUACCCCGCUGUUCUGACGGUACCCAAAGAAUAAGCACCGGCUAACUUCGUG
RNAcentral lists this ribosomal RNA (492 nucleotides) under uncultured bacterium. Its description in RNAcentral is "partial 16S ribosomal RNA". It matches the Rfam family "Bacterial small subunit ribosomal RNA", at positions 29 to 507 of the family's 1533-position model. The record is from RNAcentral.